Molecule: long non-coding RNA, 892 nt
Filed under: Ananas comosus (pineapple)
Lineage: Eukaryota; Viridiplantae; Streptophyta; Magnoliopsida; Poales; Bromeliaceae
Description: long non-coding RNA (ACOM_LNC032522)
Source: RNAcentral
ACAAGGCGGGAAAUAAUACAUGAAAUAAUAAAAGGGUAAACUUUAAAUAUUAUCCAUAUGAUUUCGUACUUUCUCACUUUAGUACACUUUGGUUUAAAAUGUAUCAAUUUAAAACUCCGUGCUUUCAUUUUUCUCUUUUCAUCAGCUCUUCCGUUAUCAUUUCGUUGAAUUAUAUUAUAUACAAAAAUCUUUAGAUACCCAAUUUAGGUUUAUCAAAUACUCAUUUUAUCACCUUUUAGUUUAACUUUGUAACCGAUUUAACAAAAAAAUUAGUAGAGAAAAUAAUAAAAAAAUAAAAAUAAAAAUCACAGAGUACUAAAUUGAUACACUUUCACUACAACAAAAAUGGUGUAUAGCGACACUUUUAAAUAUUGGUACAUGUUAAAAAAAGUGCUGCUGGCUAAAUUACCGACACUUUUAAAAAGUAUUGCUAUAUGUGGGGUCGCUAGGUAUAUAGUGACAGCUUAAAAGUGUCGGUAUAACUUAAAAAGAGUGAUGCUAAUUUACCGACACUUAUUUAAGCAUUUAGCAACGACCGAAACUCUACCUCGUUGGCUGCGGUGGCGGAGGAGGAGGAGAGCGAAGGGUUUUCGUUUAGGAUUUCAGCUGAUUGAGUGAGGGGAGAAGGGGAGAUAGUAAUCGAUUUUUUCUUUUUUUUUUUCCAUGUCUGUUUGUAAUCGGGCCAAAUAGGCUGGAUGAGGUGGAUUGAAUAGAGUAAUCUUUUAUUUUUUGUUGGAUUGAGUUUUAUAUUUAGGCCUUAGUAGACUCUUUUUUAAGUUUUGAUAUAAAUAGAACACUUACACAAAAAUAUCUCAAACGUAUGUCUCUAUAAUUUAAUUAUGUUGUAGUGAUGUGGGGCCUUUUUUGGGGGGAAUUUGGUAUGGUCAAUUGA